RNAcentral lists this ribosomal RNA (550 nucleotides) under Arthroleptis perreti. RNAcentral's name for it is "partial 16S ribosomal RNA". It matches the Rfam family "Bacterial large subunit ribosomal RNA", at positions 1832 to 2594 of the family's 2925-position model. Lineage: Eukaryota; Metazoa; Chordata; Amphibia; Anura; Arthroleptidae. The record is from RNAcentral.
CACCUCUUGACCAACUAUAAGAGGCCCAGCCUGCCCAGUGAUCAUUUAAACGGCCGCGGUAUCCUAACCGUGCAAAGGUAGCACAAUCACUUGUUCUUUAAAUAAGGACUAGUAUGAACGGCAUCACGAAGACUACACUGUCUCCUUUUUUCAAUCAGUGAAACUGAUCUUCCCGUGAAGAAGCGGGAAUUACUAUAUAAGACGAGAAGACCCCAUGAAGCUUUAAAUUAAAUAUUAACUGCUAUCCAAAUAUCACAUAAACCCAACAGAUCUAAUUAUUAAUUUUAGGUUGGGGCGACCACGGAGUAAAACAAAACCUCCACAAUGAAAAGGCCUAUAUUCCAUAAUUCAAGAACAACAAUUCUAAUAAUCAACACAUUGACAUAACUUGACCCAAAUCCUUGAUCAAUGAACCAAGUUACUCUGGGGAUAACAGCGCAAUCCAUUUCAAGAGCCCAUAUCGACAAAUGGGUUUACGACCUCGAUGUUGGAUCAGGGUAUCCUAGUGGUGUAGCCGCUACUAAAGGUUCGUUUGUUCAACGAUUAAAAC